RNAcentral lists this ribosomal RNA (460 nucleotides) under uncultured bacterium. Its description in RNAcentral is "partial 16S ribosomal RNA". It matches the Rfam family "Bacterial small subunit ribosomal RNA", at positions 338 to 795 of the family's 1533-position model. The record is from RNAcentral.
CCUACGGGAGGCAGCAGUGAGGAAUAUUGGUCAAUGGGCUUACGCCUGAACCAGCCAAGUCGCGUGAGGGAAGACUGCCCUAUGGGUUGUAAACCUCUUUUGUCAGGGAGCAACGCCGGCUACGUGUAGCCGGACUGAGAGUACCUGAAGAAAAAGCAUCGGCGAACUCCGUGCCAGCAGCCGCGGUAAUACGGAGGAUGCGAGCGUUAUCCGGAUUGAUUGGGUUUAAAGGGUGCGUAGGCGGAAUGCCAAGUCAGCGGUAAAAUCGCGGGGCUCAACCUCGCUCCGCCGUUGAAACUGGCGUUCUUGAGUGGGCGAGAAGUAUGCGGAAUGCGUGGUGUAGCGGUGAAAUGCAUAGAUAUCACGCAGAACUCCGAUUGCGAAGGCAGCAUACCGGCGCCCAACUGACGCUGACGCACGAAAGCGUGGGUAUCGAACAGGAUUAGAUACCCUAGUAGUC